UUUACAGUGAGGGAUAUUGGUCAAUAGCCUAACCGGCUGAACCAGCAACUUGGAGGAAUGUACAGGGAAAACUGGUAAAAUGUGAUGUACCUGAUAGUAUUAGUGAUUAAUAUGAAAUUAACUAAGUUAAUUAAAAUUCGAAGUAGAUAUGUGAUUAUGACAAUAUUUGCUUAUUUCUUGACUAAGUCACGUGCCAGCAGUCGCGGUAAUACGUGGUAGAUAAGUGUUAUUCAUCUUUAAUAGGUUUAAAGGGUACCUAGACGGUUAAUUAAGCAUAUAAGUGUACUAAUUAUUAACUAGAGUUUAAUGUAAGAAGGAUUGAGUACGGUGAGUGUAGAGAUAAAAUUCUAUCAUACCACUUAGGAACUGGUAAAGGCGAAGGCAACCUUUUAUGUAAAAACUGACGUUAAGGGACGAAGGCUCGUAUUAAAUAAUAGGAUUAGAGACCCUAGUAUUGUGGGCAGACAAUGAUGAGUGUCAUAUGCAAGAAAUAUUUUGUGUAUAAAUGAAAGUGUAAGCACUCCACCUCAAGAGUAACGUGGCAACAUGGGAACUGAAAUCAUUAGACCGUUUCUGAAACUCGUAGUGAAGUAUGUUGUUUAAUUUGAUAAUCCUCAAAUAACCUUACCACAAUUUGAAUUACUAGUACUCUUACUUUGAACAUUUAUUAGUUGUUUCUUAUUAUUAAUAGUUUAGCUUUUCUAUUAGUAUUUUAUCGAUAGCUAUUAAAUAUUUAGAGUAGCUAUUAGUAACAAGCGUUGCACGGCUGUCUUCAGUCAAUGUUGUGAAACUUUGGUUAGAUCCAUUAAAUUGACGUAAACCCUUGCUUUAUUUGUUAUAAAGCAGUUCGCCGCUAUAUUGGUAGUGAUAGAAGGGACCAAGACAAGUCAUCAUGACCUGAACAUUGUGGGCUAUAGACGUGCCCAAUAUC
This 931-nucleotide ribosomal RNA is filed under the name Platygramme caesiopruinosa. RNAcentral describes it as "SSU rRNA". It matches the Rfam family "Bacterial small subunit ribosomal RNA", at positions 348 to 1234 of the family's 1533-position model. Lineage: Eukaryota; Fungi; Ascomycota; Lecanoromycetes; Ostropales; Graphidaceae. The record is from RNAcentral.